Molecule: ribosomal RNA, 136 nt
Filed under: Rosenbergiella nectarea
Lineage: Bacteria; Pseudomonadati; Pseudomonadota; Gammaproteobacteria; Enterobacterales; Erwiniaceae
Description: 16S rRNA. Bacterial SSU
Rfam family: Bacterial small subunit ribosomal RNA
Source: RNAcentral
UUAAAUUGAAGAGUUUGAUCAUGGCUCAGAUUGAACGCUGGCGGCAGGCCUAACACAUGCAAGUCGAACGGUAACAGAGAGUAGCUUGCUACUCUGCUGACGAGUGGCGGACGGGUGAGUAAUGUCUGGGGAUCUG